AUACAGAGGGUGCGAGCGUUAAUCGGAAUUACUGGGCGUAAAGCGCGCGUAGGCGGCUUGGUCAGUCGGAUGUGAAAGCCCCGGGCUCAACCUGGAAAUGGCAUUCGAUACUGCCAGGCUAGAGUAUGGGAGAGGGAAGUGGAAUUUCCGGUGUAGCGGUGAAAUGCGUAGAUAUCGGAAAGAACACCAGUGGCGAAGGCGACUUCCUGGCCCAAUACUGACGCUGAGGUGCGAAAGCGUGGGGAGCGAACAGGAUUAGAAACCCCAGUAGUCC
Molecule: ribosomal RNA, 274 nt
Filed under: uncultured bacterium
Lineage: Bacteria
Description: partial 16S ribosomal RNA
Rfam family: Bacterial small subunit ribosomal RNA
Source: RNAcentral